This 575-nucleotide small RNA is filed under the name Pongo abelii (Sumatran orangutan). RNAcentral describes it as "processed transcript". Lineage: Eukaryota; Metazoa; Chordata; Mammalia; Primates; Hominidae. The record is from RNAcentral.
AAGAAAGCCCAUUUUUGUGUCUGUCAGCUUAGAUGCUCUUGCCCGGACUGCUAAAGAUGCAGCCAUUUACAGUGGACAAAAACUGAAGGGGUGAAAGAAAACCCAAGAUGCCAGACCAGUUUGACCAGGCGGUUGUGCUGAACCAGCUGCGGUACUCAGGGAUGCUGGAGACUGUGAGAAUCCGCAAAGCCGGGUAUAAAGUGCUGAUGAGGAAUCUGGCUCUGCCCGAGGACAUCCGAGGGAAGUGCACGAGCCUGCUGCAGCUCUAUGAUGCCUCCAACAGCGAGUGGCAGCUGGGGAAGACCAAGGUCUUUCUUCGAGAAUCCUUGGAACAGAAACUGGAGAAGCGGAGGGAAGAGGAAGUGACUCACGCGGCCAUGGUGAUUCGGGCCCAUGUCUUGGGCUUCUUGGCACGAAAACAAUACAGAAAGGUCCUUUAUUGUGUGGUGAUAAUACAGAAGAAUUACAGAGCAUUCCUUCUGAGGAGGAGAUUUUUGCACCUGAAAAAGGCAGCCGUAGUUUUCCAGAAGCAACUCAGAGGUCAGAUUGCUCGUAGAGUUUACAGACAAUUGCUG